This 533-nucleotide ribosomal RNA is filed under the name uncultured bacterium. RNAcentral describes it as "bacterial SSU rRNA". It matches the Rfam family "Bacterial small subunit ribosomal RNA", at positions 272 to 803 of the family's 1533-position model. The record is from RNAcentral.
GUGCACGAUGCGUAGGGGUUCUGAGAGGAAGGUCCCCCACACUGGUACUGAGACACGGACCAGACUCCUACGGGAGGCAGCAGUGAGGAAUAUUGGUCAAUGGGAGAGAUCCUGAACCAGCCAAGCCGCGUGAGGGAAGACGGCCCUAUGGGUUGUAAACCUCUUUUGUCGGAGAACAAAACCCGGGACGUGUCCCGGACUGCGUGUAUCCGAAGAAAAAGCAUCGGCUAACUCCGUGCCAGCAGCCGCGGUAAUACGGAGGAUGCGAGCGUUAUCCGGAUUUAUUGGGUUUAAAGGGUGCGUAGGCGGUCCGUUAAGUCAGCGGUAAAAUUGCGGGGCUCAACCCCGUCGAGCCGUUGAAACUGGCAGACUUGAGUUGGCGAGAAGUACGCGGAAUGCGCGGUGUAGCGGUGAAAUGCAUAGAUAUCGCGCAGAACUCCGAUUGCGAAGGCAGCGUACCGGCGCCAGACUGACGCUGAGGCACGAAAGCGUGGGGAUCGAACAGGAUUAGAUACCCUGGUAGUCCACGCAGU